AGCGAACGUUUGCGGCGGGCUUAACACAUGCAAGUCGAACGGCAGCGGGCCUUCGGGUGCCGGCGAGUGGCGAACGGGUGAGUAAUGCAUCGGAACGUGCCAUUGAGUGGGGGAUAACGUAGCGAAAGUUGCGCUAAUACCGCAUAUUCUGUGAGCAGGAAAGCAGGGGACCGCAAGGCCUUGCGCUCUUUGAGCGGCCGAUGUCAGAUUAGCUAGUUGGUGAGGUAAAGGCUUACCAAGGCGACGAUCUGUAGCGGGUCUGAGAGGAUGAUCCGCCACACUGGAACUGAGACACGGUCCAGACUCCUACGGGAGGCAGCAGUGGGGAAUUUUGGACAAUGGGGGCAACCCUGAUCCAGCCAUGCCGCGUGAGUGAAGAAGGCC
Molecule: ribosomal RNA, 384 nt
Filed under: uncultured bacterium
Lineage: Bacteria
Description: bacterial SSU rRNA
Rfam family: Bacterial small subunit ribosomal RNA
Source: RNAcentral